CUAGCGAGACUGCGGUAAUAAACGAGGAAGUGGGGAGUGACGUCAAUCAUCAUGCCCCUUAUGACCUGGGCUACACACGUGCUACAAUGGUUGGUACAACGAGUUGCGAGUCGGUGACGGCGAGCUAAUCUCUUAAAGCCAAUCUCAGUUCGGAUUGUAGGCUGCAACUCGCCUACAUGAAGUCGGAAUCGCUAGUAAUCGCGGAUCAGCACGCCGCGGUGAAUACGUUCCCGGGCCUU
RNAcentral lists this ribosomal RNA (239 nucleotides) under uncultured Streptococcus sp. RNAcentral describes it as "partial 16S ribosomal RNA". It matches the Rfam family "Bacterial small subunit ribosomal RNA", at positions 1140 to 1382 of the family's 1533-position model. The record is from RNAcentral. Lineage: Bacteria; Bacillati; Bacillota; Bacilli; Lactobacillales; Streptococcaceae.